GACGAACGCUGGCGGCGUGCUUAACACAUGCAAGUCGAACGGAAAGGACCUGCUUUUGUGGGGUGCUCGAGUGGCGAACGGGUGAGUAACACGUGAGUAACCUGCCCAUGACUUUGGGAUAACUCCAGGAAACUGGGGACAAUACCGGAUAGGAGCUCCUGCUGCAUGGUGGGGGUUGGAAAGUUUCGGCGGUUGGGGAUGGACUCGCGGCUUAUCAGCCUGUUGGUGGGGUAGUGGCUUACCAAGGCUUUGACGGGUAGCCGGCCUGAGAGGGUGACCGGCCACAUUGGGACUGAGAUACGGCCCAGACUCCUACGGGAGGCAGCAGUGUGGAAUAUUGCACAAUGGGCGGAAGCCUGGUGCAGCAACGCCGCGUGCGGGAUGACGGCCUUCGGGUUGUAAACCGAUUUCGCCUGUGACGAAGCGUGAGUGACGGUAAUGGGUAAAGAAGCACCGGCUAACUACGUG
Molecule: ribosomal RNA, 468 nt
Filed under: uncultured bacterium
Lineage: Bacteria
Description: partial 16S ribosomal RNA
Rfam family: Bacterial small subunit ribosomal RNA
Source: RNAcentral